This 988-nucleotide long non-coding RNA is filed under the name Arachis ipaensis. Its description in RNAcentral is "long non-coding RNA (AIPA_LNC002356)". The record is from RNAcentral. Lineage: Eukaryota; Viridiplantae; Streptophyta; Magnoliopsida; Fabales; Fabaceae.
GUGUUGGAAAGAUUUGUGGUAAGUAGCUGUUAAUAGAUGUAACUACCUUGGCUUAAAACUGUGAAGCUAGCAAGAAAUAUUGGGAUUAUUGAAAGUGAUGUUUGGAGUCAUAUUUUUACUACUAUUAAGUCUUUAAUCAUAUUUGUUUCCAGGAAUUUCAUUUGGCCUUAAAGAUGAUUUCUCCAGUGACCCAUAAAGCUGUUAGUGAGGUCAUUGAAUCAUGUAAAGUUCGUUGAAAGCUCAGCAAAUGGAAAACUAUGUACAGCCUCAGCUGGUUUUGCUGCAAAUCACUUCAUUUCGUCCAACUAGUUACACUAGAUGCUUGUAUAUAAAAGUCAACAGAGGGUUGCCUACUUGCCUUAUAUAGUUUGUGUAUCAACAAUGGUAUUUUUUCAAAUAUUCUUGAUUAGCCAUCUCUCUCUCUCUCUCUCUCUCUCUCACACACACACACACAAGUGUCUAAACAAAGCAUAUAUAUGUAGUAAGCAGGAUUAUUAGAAAAAAUGAAAAUAAAAAUUAAAUGAAGCACCAACCAGGAAAUCACUUCACAAAGGAGUACAGAUUUGGAUAUUCUAGAUUUUAUCUAUAGUUUCUUAUCCAUGUACUCUGAUUUGUCAAAACCAAUGAAGCAAAGUAAUCUACACGUAAUGAACAAGAGAGUAGACUCCAAUUCAUAUGAACCUUUUUUUCCCUCCUUCUAUUUACUUGCACUCAAUUUGAUUUAAGAGAAGACUUCAAUUUGCAAAAAAGAAAGGACUUGAGGUGAACUUGAAAUGAGCAAAAAAUACAAAGAGCUUUCUAUUUGACCACCCCUUUCUACCCAGAAAUAAGAGUAUGGUCCAUAUAGAAGAAACAGAUUACAAUAGCCUCACACAUUGCCAUUUUCAACCCCCAAAAUAAAUCAUUGGAAAAAAAGAAAAAAGAGAGAGAAAAAGCACGUAACUGUAACUCCACCACAACCACCCACACUGUCUCUAAUAUAAGCAUG